RNAcentral lists this long non-coding RNA (1347 nucleotides) under Triticum aestivum (bread wheat). Its description in RNAcentral is "long non-coding RNA (TAES_LNC018408)". Lineage: Eukaryota; Viridiplantae; Streptophyta; Magnoliopsida; Poales; Poaceae. The record is from RNAcentral.
UCGCAACGCACGGGCUCUUUUGCUAGUUGGUACUCAAACAUACACUCAUCACUUACAUCCAUCAUGUCUUCCUGCAUAUAACAUAUGAAAUCCACAGUUGGUGUUUAUCAAUGUUGCAGGUGUAAAAUAGCUCAUAGGCAAAGACAAGUGCAUGAAAAAGACUGUGCUCGUUUGACAUGUGAGGGCAACCAAUCAUCAACGUCCAAAAAGUACUAUCCUAGCAUGCAUGAUGACUGGAAUAAACUAUAUUGCAUGCACUAUGGAAACCUAAAGUGAUGAUGACUAGAAUAAACUAAACUAAGUGAACUAUGGAACCGGUAUCUCAUAUUUCCAUAUGCAAGCAAGCCUCCAACGCCAUGAUGAAGCUUUCAUCUCAAACGUCAAGUAAGUCACUUUUUUUCUUCGGUACUAAAGGGAGUAAGCAAUGGCCUCAGCAUCUUAGUCAAGAGAAACUAUGCCACGAUGAAGCUUUCCAUUCGUUGUUCCUGUCGGUACAAAUCUCGCAUGGCAAAUACUGCUAAAUUACAUAAUCAUGUAGGGUUGAGGUGGUACUGCGUGCAUGGUGGAUGGGCGCAAGGGCCAAGAGAACGAGCAGAACGCCAAUAUGGAUUCAUACCUUAAGGGUGGUACGCGGGAAGAGAUGGGAUCGCCCGCUGCCGUCGCUGCCGAUUCAGCCGGGCAGAUCCGGCCUUCUUCUUCUUCGGUGACAGCGUGGGGUGGGGGGGGCUAGGGUUGGUUGAGUGGAGGACGAGGACGAGGACGGUGAAUUUAUUCGUCUCACCGGGCACGUCGGGGACGAAGAAGGUCAGGAGCACGACGGCGAGGGAUAGAUCGGACGAGGACUACGAACUCGAUCGAGUAGACGUGGAUCUGGUCCUCGGGUGAUCGGUUCACGAAAAGAUAUUUUCUCCUGGACCAUUAUGCCCUUAUCGGAACUAAAAUAUUAAAUUUAAUCAGUUUUGAUUUUCACAAGAUCGGAUGGCUAAUAAAAAUCAGAGGUGUAAUUACCGGAGUACUAACCCAAUCACCGUAAAACAGCUCUAAAAAAAUAUAAAAUAUUACAGCUCGCCCUAAAGAAAACCCCGUACCUCAGAUUUUCAGUUUUUGCCCUGUCUUUACUGUUUCCUCUAUCGCACAAAAGCACCGCGCACACCCACGACAGCUUCUUCGCCAUGGCUCCCCGUCGAAGCAGCAACUAAUAACAGUAGGUGACCAGGCAGUGGAGACCGUCCCGGGCAGAGCAGCUCGAGGGCUCGCUGGAGUCCUGGUCGAGGCGGAGGCGUGGGACAGCGUGAGCUCGUGUCCAGAAGACAUGGAUACAUGGAGUGAGGUAGGGGCCGGACAUGG